RNAcentral lists this ribosomal RNA (478 nucleotides) under uncultured bacterium. Its description in RNAcentral is "bacterial SSU rRNA". It matches the Rfam family "Bacterial small subunit ribosomal RNA", at positions 330 to 801 of the family's 1533-position model. The record is from RNAcentral.
UGCGAACUCCUACGGGAGGCAGCAGUGGGGAAUAUUGCACAAUGGGGGAGACCCUGAUGCAGCCAUGCGCGUGUGUGAAGAAGGCCUUCGGGUUGUAAAGCACUUUCAGUAGGGAGGAAAGGGUAAGUCCUAAUACGACUUAUCUGUGACGUUACCUACAGAAGAAGGACCGGCUAACUCCGUGCCAGCAGCCGCGGUAAUACGGAGGGUCCGAGCGUUAAUCGGAAUUACUGGGCGUAAAGCGUGCGCAGGCGGUUUGUUAAGCGAGAUGUGAAAGCCCUGGGCUCAACCUAGGAAUCGCAUUUCGAACUGACCAACUAGAGUCUUGUAGAGGGGGGUAGAAUUCCAGGUGUAGCGGUGAAAUGCGUAGAGAUCUGGAGGAAUACCGGUGGCGAAGGCGGCCCCCUAGACAAAGACUGACGCUCAUGCACGAAAGCGUGGGGAGCAAACAGGAUUAGAUACCCGAGUAGUCCAGAUG